CGCGGCGUAGCGCAGCGGCAGCGCAACGGCCUCAUAAGCCGAAGGUCGCGGGUUCGAGUCCCGCCGCCGCCA
RNAcentral lists this transfer RNA (72 nucleotides) under Nocardia puris. It matches the Rfam family "tRNA". From Rfam's summary of the family: Transfer RNA (tRNA) molecules are approximately 80 nucleotides in length. Their secondary structure includes four short double-helical elements and three loops (D, anti-codon, and T loops). The record is from Rfam by way of RNAcentral. Lineage: Bacteria; Bacillati; Actinomycetota; Actinomycetes; Mycobacteriales; Nocardiaceae.